AGAAUCAACGCUGGCGGCGUGCCUAACACAUGCAAGUCGAACGAGAAAGUGGAGCAAUCCAUGAGUAAAGUGGCGCACGGGUGAGUAACACGUGACUAACCUACCCUUGAGUGGGGAAUAACUUCGGGAAACCGAGGCUAAUACCGCAUAACACCUACGGGUCAAAGGAGCAAUUCGCUUAAGGAGGGGGUCGCGGCAGAUUAGUUAGUUGGCGGGGUAAUGGCCCACCAAGACGGUGAUCUGUAUCCGGCCUGAGAGGGCGCACGGACACACUGGAACUGAAACACGGUCCAGACUCCUACGGGAGGCAGCAGUGGGGAAUUUGCGCAAUGGGGGAAACCCUGACGCAGCAACGCCGCGUGGAGGAUGAAGUCCCUUGGGACGUAAACUCCUUUCGAUCGGGACGAUUAUGACGGUACCGGAAGAAGAAGCCCCGGCUAACUCCGUGCCAGCAGCCGC
This 459-nucleotide ribosomal RNA is filed under the name uncultured bacterium. RNAcentral's name for it is "SSU rRNA". It matches the Rfam family "Bacterial small subunit ribosomal RNA", at positions 26 to 518 of the family's 1533-position model. The record is from RNAcentral.